CUGGGCCUACGGGGCGCAGCAGUGGGGAAUAUUGCACAAUGGGGGAAACCCUGAUGCAGCAGCGCCGCGUGAGUGAAGAAGUAUUUCGGUAUGUAAAGCUCUAUCAGCAGGGAAGAAGAUGACGGUACCUGAUUAAGAAGCCCCGGCUAACUACGUGCCAGCAGCCGCGGUAAUACGUAGGGGGCAAGCGUUAUCCGGAUUUACUGGGUGUAAAGGGAGCGCAGACGGCAGUGCAAGUCUGGAGUGAAAGCCCGGGGCCCAACCACGGAACUGCUCUGGAAACUGUGCGGCUAGAGUCAGGGAGG
This 305-nucleotide ribosomal RNA is filed under the name uncultured bacterium. RNAcentral describes it as "bacterial SSU rRNA". It matches the Rfam family "Bacterial small subunit ribosomal RNA", at positions 333 to 655 of the family's 1533-position model. The record is from RNAcentral.